RNAcentral lists this transfer RNA (73 nucleotides) under Treponema sp. Its description in RNAcentral is "tRNA-Thr". It matches the Rfam family "tRNA". From Rfam's summary of the family: Transfer RNA (tRNA) molecules are approximately 80 nucleotides in length. Their secondary structure includes four short double-helical elements and three loops (D, anti-codon, and T loops). Further hydrogen bonds mediate the characteristic L-shaped molecular structure. tRNAs have two regions of fundamental functional importance: the anti-codon, which is responsible for specific mRNA codon recognition, and the 3' end, to which the tRNAs corresponding amino acid is attached (by aminoacyl-tRNA synthetases). tRNAs cope with the degeneracy of the genetic code in two manners: having more than one tRNA (with a specific anti-codon) for a particular amino acid; and 'wobble' base-pairing, i.e. permitting non-standard base-pairing at the 3rd anti-codon position. The record is from RNAcentral. Lineage: Bacteria; Pseudomonadati; Spirochaetota; Spirochaetia; Treponematales; Treponemataceae.
GCCAAUUUAGCUCAGCCGGCAGAGCAGCGGUUUUGUAAACCGCAGGUCCAGGGUUCGAAUCCCUGAGUUGGCU